CAAUAGCGUAUAUUUAAGUUGUUGCAGUUAAAAAGCUCGUAGUUGGAUUUCGGGUGGGACGCAGCGGUCUCGCAUUGCGUUUGUACUGCUGCAGCCCUCCUUCUUGCCGGGGGCGGCCUCUCGGACUUCACUGUCUGGGGGUCAGAAUCGGCGAUGUUACUUUGAGUAAAUUAGAGUGUUCAAAGCAAGCUUACGCUCUGAAUAUAAUAGCAUGGGAUAACACGACAGGACUCUGGCCUAUCGUGUUGGUCUAUAGGACCAGAGUAAUGAUUAAGAGGGACAGUCGGGGGCAUUCGUAUUCCGUUGUCAGAGGUGAAAUUCUUGGAUUUGCGGAAGACGAACAUCUGCGAAAGCAUUUGCCAAGGAUGUUUNCAUUGA
This 378-nucleotide ribosomal RNA is filed under the name uncultured eukaryote. RNAcentral's name for it is "partial 18S ribosomal RNA". It matches the Rfam family "Eukaryotic small subunit ribosomal RNA", at positions 592 to 976 of the family's 1831-position model. The record is from RNAcentral.